CAAUUUGUCAAUGAAUAUAAAUUUCUGUACCAUAUUCAAAAUGAAACGAAUGAAUCACCCAAAGAAUAAGUUACUAGAUGUAAGAACACAAAAUAUGAAAUCAAUUGAUAUUCAGAAAAUGCAUACUGAAUUGUCAAGUCCUGCUUUGUUACUAAAAGAGCAUUAGUACAGGAAAAGAACUCAACCCUUGCUUUGAUAACAAACAGAAUUAAAUCAAAUCAAAUCAAAAGGAAUCGAAGCUCUAAAUUUCUUGUGUAUUAGGAUGUGCUCCAAAUUCCCAUACUUUCUUACUUAGCUUUUACAUAAUCGAGGAGAAGUUUAUCGAGCUCAAAAUGCCGGCAAAGAAGUUUCUGGGGAAAAAAGCCACAAGUGCAUUUGUCAAACAGCAUAAUCAAAAUUAUUAAUUGCUCAUCCAUAUCUUUCAUUCACAAUAGUGCAAAUUCAAUAAAUUCACAUGCAUUAGUGUAUUACCUGAAAAUUCAAAAAUGUCAAAAGGACCAAGACAAUCAACUAAGAAUAAAGAAGUGAUAUGUAAGACCCAGAACAGGAACUUGUGAUGUCCAAUCUUACCUCUUCUAGGUUUACAAGUCCUAUGCAAUUAAUUUUAAAGAAGUGUUUAAUGCAUGCAAAAUUCUCGGCUCUGCAUAAUACAGAGAUACAAGAUGACUAUAAUUAAAACCCGUUGCAAGAAUAUUCUAUGUACUGCCACCAAAUUACUUCUUCAUCUUCUUUGGGCCCGUACGGGGUCAUUGGUUACAUACUUGAGCUCAAUCAAUAGAUGGAAGUGGUAAAUAACAUGAACAAUUAUUGCCUUUUCUCGGCUUUCAUUUACAUAAAUUUCAACAUAAAAUUGUACUAAAAUGUUGAUCAUUUGAGCCGUUGAUCACCGUCAUAUCAUCACAAUUGAUAUUCACAUAAAGGUCAAGCACUCAUCCAUUCAUUGAAUAACAUGGUAUUUUUAGAUAUGUCUUCAAAUGCGAGGUUCAAAGACAAGGUCGGCCCUGGCCUAAGGCAAGCUAGGUCAUUGCCUUGGGUCUCCGAUUUCAAGGGGCCUCUAAAAAAAAAGGCCAAAAAAUAAAUAAAAAGUGAAGUAUGAGAGAAGAAAGAAACAGACCAUCAUUUUUUCCAAUCAUCUUCAACAAAAAAUUCUCCCUAUUCCCUAGUAUGCGAUGAUUGACGAACGAUGAUUCAUAUUUUCAAUUAAAUCCUCGUUGAAAACCUGAAGCACCCCAUUAUCUUUUCAUCAAUUUCUUUUUUUCAAUCUCUUUUUGUGAUUUGAAUUUCGCUUUGCAAGGUUUUAAAAGGGGGACUGUCUGAUUGAACGUGAAGAAUGAGGAUUGAGGCCGACACUGACACUGAGAGACGAAAACUAGAGGAGCGAAUGAGAUUAGAUACCCCGGUAAUUCUAGUCGUAGACGAUGGAUACUAGACGCUGUGCGUAUCGACCCGUGCAGUGCUGCAGCUAACGCGUUAAGUAUCGCUCCUAGGGAGUACGUUCACAAGAAUAAAAUUCAAAGGAAUUGACAGGGGCUUUUCCCCCGGAGAAGUUAAAGGCAAAGACCAGUUGAUGUAAUUCUGCAAAUUAAUUAUUCUGGCUACAUCUCUUUCUUGGAUAAUAUUUAGAAGUUGAAUUAUAAGCUUCACUACCUCCACAUAUUCCUUAUUCUUUUCCAUUUCCUCGUUGUUUCUGCUUCUAAUUUCUCAAGCAGCCAAGCUCGAGGGUGGUAUUUGUAUAUGGAAUUUUCUGAUUCAAUUCAUGAUAUUCAUCAUCGUUCUGCAAUUUGCAAAUUCAAGAAUUGGUCAAAACCAGUAAGAAAUUCUUGAUAUGAUUCUAUUAGAUUUGUGUACUGUUAUAUGUCUCCAUUAAUUUUAUUUUAAAGUACAUUAUAUUGAAUUAUUUUUGUGAUUUGAUGCGGGCCUACUUAAUUACUUGAAUCAAGGCAAAUAUGAUACGAUUGGGAACCCAUUGGUUUUUGGUAGUUUUUAAUUGGAAUAUUAGAUCCAUAUAAAAAGAGUUAUCUAAUGGGGGGUUUUCGCUUCUUUAAGUGGAUGAAUGCACUGUAAUGGGUUUUUUUUAAUCCUUUAAGUUAUUUAAUAUUUGCUCAGUGCAGGCUUUUUUCUUAUCCUCUAUAACUAUAUAUUUGCAAGUCAUUUUUUAUUGUUGAAUCCUUUCUUUUUGGAGAAGUUUGGGAAUUUUUAAUUCAGACUCAUCAAUCGUGUUCCACUGCUCGUUGCUUAUAAUUAUGUCUACAAGAAAAUUUGAAUCUGGAUAUGCCAAAGAAGAAAAGGAAAGAGAAGGUCAAACUGUUAAUUAAAUCUCAAGCAAGAGCACUUGAUAACUUUUUUAGUAAUAGUAAAUGAACAUAUGACGAAGACGUAGUUAUUGAAGAAGAGUUUAAAGAUAAUGAUAACAGAAAUAAUACAAUUGAAGAACAACAUUGUUUGGUGAAUGAAAGAUAUAUCUACCGACAAAGAUAAUACACCAUUUUCCCUUGACCUUAUUAAUCUAGCAAAUUGAGGAUAUAUGGAUACGAAUUUAAGAGAUUUAAUUGUAAUGAAAGGUCCUGUAAGAGAAAAUGAUGUGAUUUUUCUAAAAGAUGUAGCAAAUCAACACUUCCCAUCUAUACAUUACAUUAGAGAAGCAUGAUAGAAAGUGGUUGAUAUAUUCAAAAAGUUGGGAUAAAGUAUUUUGCUUUUGUUGUAAGCUAUUUAAGAAUGAUGUGAUCAGAACUCAAUUGGCACGCUAUGAUGUAAAGGAUUGGAAAAAUAUUGAUGAAAAACUUAAAACACGUGAGGUAAGUUGUGAACACAUCAAUAAUAUCAGUAGAUGGAUUGAAAUGGAAUUUAGAUUUGAAAAGAGUAAAACAAUUGAUAAAAAUGUGCAGAAACAUACCAAUAGAGAUAGAGAACACUGGAGGCAAGUAUUACUGAAAAUAAUAUAUUUGGUGAGAACUUUUGAUGAUAAUAAUUUAGCAUUUCGUGGAGAUAAUGGAAAGAUAUACCACAAAAAUAAUGGUAUCUUUUUAAACAUAAUUCAAAUAAUUGCUAAGUUUGAUUACGUAAUGUAAGACCGAGUUCGUCGAAUCCAAAAUAAAGAGAUUUAUUAUCUUUAUCUAGGAUACAAAAUUCAGAUUGAGUUGAUACUUAUACUAGCAGGUGAGAUAAAAAAUAAUAAUCAUUAAGAAACUCACAAAAUCUAAGUAUUUUUCCGUUAUACUUGAUAUUUUUCUCCAGAUACGAGUCAUGAAGAGCAAAUGUCUGUAGUAUUAAGGUGUGUAGAUAUUUCAAUUAGUCUAGUAAAGGUUGAAGAAUUCUUUUAAGAUUUUUAUUGGUGGAUGAUACAUCUGAUAAGGGACUUUAUGAUGAACUUCUGGGUGCUUUAAACAAUCUAAAAUUUGAUAUUAAUAAUGUAAAGGGUUAAGACUAUGAUAACGGUAAUAACAUGAAAGGAAAACGUAAAGGAGUUCAAAAUAAAUUCUAGAGCAUUUUACAGUUCUUACGGGUGUCAACAUAUGAAAUUGAGAUUUUUGAAUUCUCACUUGGUAUGAUUAUUAGAUAUGAGGUUAACAAAGUAAGAAAACAUUUGCAAGCAGAAGACCUACAUAUUGAUGUUGCUAUAAACCAUUUAAAAGGGUUUAUUUCAUUUUUCAAAAGUUAUAGAGGAAUCUGGGUUUGAAUAGGCCAUGGUUGAUGCUAAAGAGAUUGCAAGUGAAUUAUGAAUUAGAAAUUGAACAUAUAUUUCGUGAAAAAUGGGUUAGACAUCAAAAGAAGCAGAUUGAUAAAACUUCUUCUGAAGAGAUAACACAAACAACUAAAGAAUCUUUUAAGAUCAGUUAUUUCAUAUAUACAGUAGAUCAAGUUCUAUAAUCACUUCAGAAUAGAUUUGAAAAUAUGAAGAUAUUUUUGCAUUUUUAUUUAAUUUGAAAAGACUUCAAUCUAUUGAUGAUGAUAGGUUGAAGUACUCUUGCAUUAACCUCGGAAAUUAAUUGAAGCAUAAUAUGAUUUCUAGGUAGAAUUAUUUUCUGAGUUGAAAGUUUUAAGGGAAGCGAAACCUGCAAAAACAAUUGGAGCAAUUGAUGUGUUGGAUUACAUUAAGAGAAUGAACUAUUGUUUUGCAAAUGCUUGGAUUGCUUAUAAAGUAUUAUUGACUAUUCCUAUCACAGUUGCCUCCGGUGAAAGAAGUUUUUCAAAGUUGAAGUUGAUUAAAUCUUAUCUUCGAUCAACCAUGUCAUAAAAGAGAUUGAAUGGAUUAGCAUUUCUAUUGAAAAAAAUAUGUUGGAAAAAACUUGAUUUUAGUAGUUUGAUUACUAAGUUUACUUCUCAAAAUGUGAGAAAUUAAAUCUCAUGCUAGCCUAAUCUCUCGGGUUGUGAGAAAAGUUUUAUUUUGCUACACUAUCUUUUAGAUUGUAAAAAGUCUUCUUUUCAAUAUAAAAGUGUCACGUAUUUAAGACUCCAUUUGGCUCACUUUCUUUCAAUUUUUAUUGUAUGAAAUAGUGUUUUUUGAGAAUGUGCAGUUGAAAAGUAGGAAAAGUUUUCAAUUUAUGUGUAAUAUUAUUUUAUGGAAGAUUGUGUGGUUUAAAAUAAGAGUGAGAAUAAAAAAUUGCAAGAAGAAAGGGGCCAAGAGGGGGCUAAAUAUUUAAAUAUUUUUACACUUGUAAAAAAAAUUAUGCUGGAGGGCUUCAUAAUAACUAGUCACCUAGGACCUAUAAAUUCUUAGGGCUAGCCCUAUUCAAAGACCUCAAUUUACAACCUAAGACCAUUUUCCACACAUAUGCAUGCUUAUGAAAAACUUAGGGACGAAUCCAAGGGGGUCUAGACCAAGGCAACCCCAGCCUUAUCCAUUUUGAAACUAUAUUAUUUUAAUUUUAGAGUGCAGCCUAUGUUCAUUAGCACAAGUCGCAGGCAAACCCAAACCCAAAUCCACAUAAUCUAUAUCCUCCAAUUCCCCAAAUCCAUAGUCUAGAUUACUUGAAAUUUUGAAAUCCAAUUGGCAAUUUAGAAUUCACAUUUGGCCAUUACCAUUAUUCUCCCGUCUCCAAUCUCUCUCUCUUUAAAGUUCAAAUUCACUUUGCCCAAAAUUCGAAUUGAGAAUUUGAAGCCUUAAGUUCCUUAUUCAACCCUGUCCCUUUGUUGGCACCGAUGUCCCAAAUCCUUGUCCAAAUUCUUGUUCAUUUAAGCAAAAAAGGGGAAAAGAAGAAGCUCAAAUCUGCUUCGUAAGUAAAUCAACUCCCUCAUCUCACCACUUGAAAGUGCACUUUUCAUAUAAUUGUAUGUAAGAGUCCAAUAUUUAUUUCAAAUUAAAACCUAGUGUUUAUAGUUGAAAAAUGAUUGGUUUUUCAAUUUUCUGGAUAUAGGAAAUGAAUCAUUCUUAUACUAUUCGCAUGCUAAACAUAAUUGUAAAUUAAAUUAAGGAUGGCAAAAAAAGGAAUUCAACCUGAUACCCGUGGGGACCCGCCUCUAAUAGGGCGAGGAUUACUCGUAAACAGGGCAAGGUAUUUGCCCCCAAGUAGGUGCGGGACGGAUACAGAAAACAUAGUCCCCGCCCAGCUAUCCACCCCAUUUGAAGCUAACUUCAAAUUUAAAUUUUUAAUCAAACAAAAAUAAAAGAUUUAUCAUCAUUUUUAAAGAGACAUGGGUUUCUUAACAAAUUGAAAAAAAAUAAUAAUAUUUACUAAUUAAAGAGAAAAAAAGAAAAUAAAUAAAAAACAAAAAAUAAAUAAAUAAACGAGACAAUAAAUAAGGUACGGACCUGCCCCACACCGUAUCGAUCUUACCCUGAACCCACCCCGUCACAUUUUAACCAGGUAUGGGGACGGGACAAGGUGACAAAAAUAACCGACGGGAUGGAGGGAAUAGCCGACCCGUACCGUACUCGCCCAUUGCCAUCCCUAGUGAAUUAGUUUAAUUUCUCAAGUUUUUACGUAAAGAUCCAUCUUUGUCAUUUUUGUUUUUCUUCAGGUCCUUAAUUUUUUGCUUAAUUGGUGAGGAUUCGAAAAAGCUAGGAGAAAAUGGAAUCUCGAUAAUGAUAAGUUGUUAUUUUAGUUUUCCAGAAUUUGUCCAACUAUUGGAAGGAAGAUAAAAACUGUUCAUUUCAUUUCAUGAAUCAAUCUCACACUUGCACCAUAUUUCACUCAUUGAUUUGUUGGUAAACUCACCCUUGAUUUACUCUAAUUUUCAGAUGACAAUACCUAGAGGUUAUGUGAGUAUUUUGAUUGUAGCUCAGCUUGUGAGUUUCACUGGACCAUUUCAAUAGACCUAUGGCCCUAAAACGCUAAAGAUGAGGAUCUCUUUAUGGGCAAAUUCAUCUUUGCUGUAACUGUCUGCUAUGCUACCUGUUCUUUUGAGAUAUAUUGAUGGAACUCCGAAUUAUUCAAGUAUGCAAGAAGCAACAAUAGUACAGAAAGUAGGGAUAAGUACUAGAAUUAACAUAUUGCCACUUUGUAUAUCACAUUAGAACAUGUAAAAGUAAAAAACUAUCACCCUAUUAAAGAGUAAUUCUU
This 6500-nucleotide long non-coding RNA is filed under the name Olea europaea (common olive). Its description in RNAcentral is "long non-coding RNA (OEUR_LNC002826)". The stretch from base 1190 to 1654 matches the Rfam family "Bacterial small subunit ribosomal RNA". Lineage: Eukaryota; Viridiplantae; Streptophyta; Magnoliopsida; Lamiales; Oleaceae. The record is from RNAcentral.